UGGGGAAUAUUGCACAAUGGGCGCAAGCCUGACGCAGCAACGCCGCGUGGGUGAUGAAGGCCUUCGGGUCGUAAAGCCCUGUCAGGUGGGAAGAAUGUCCCUGGGGUGAACAGCUUUGGGGAGUGACGGUACCACCAGAGGAAGCACCGGCUAACUCCGUGCCAGCAGCCGCGGUAAUACGGAGGGUGCAAGCGUUAUUCGGAAUUACUGGGCGUAAAGCGUGUGUAGGCGGUUUGACAAGUUGGAUGUGAAAGCUCCUGGCUUAACUGGGAGAGGUCGUUCAAAACUGUCAGACUUGAGAGUGGUAGAGGGAGGUGGAAUUCCGGGUGUAGUGGUGAAAUGCGUAGAUAUCCGGAGGAACACCAGUGGCGAAAGCGGCCUCCUGGCCCAUUUCUGACGCUCAGACACGAAAGCUAAGGUAGCAAACG
This 428-nucleotide ribosomal RNA is filed under the name uncultured bacterium. RNAcentral describes it as "bacterial SSU rRNA". It matches the Rfam family "Bacterial small subunit ribosomal RNA", at positions 355 to 774 of the family's 1533-position model. The record is from RNAcentral.